This 400-nucleotide ribosomal RNA is filed under the name uncultured Colpodella. RNAcentral describes it as "partial small subunit ribosomal RNA". It matches the Rfam family "Eukaryotic small subunit ribosomal RNA", at positions 30 to 432 of the family's 1831-position model. Lineage: Eukaryota; Colpodellaceae. The record is from RNAcentral.
GCUUGUCUCAAAGAUUAAGCCAUGCAUGUCUAAGUAUAAGCCUUUAUAUGGUGAGACUGCGAAUGGCUCAUUAAAUCAGAAACUGUUUAUUUGAUAGUGCCUACUACAUGGAUACCUGUAGUAAUUCUAGAGCUAAUACAUGCAAAAAGCCUGGACUUCUGGAACAGGCGUAUUUAUUAGAUAAAGAACCAAUCCAUGCUUGCAUGGUUUUGUGGUGAUUCAUAAUAACUGAUCGAAUCGCAUGCCUUCGGGCGGCGAUGUAUCAUUCAAGUUUCUGACCUAUCAGCUUCCGACGGUAGGGUAUUGGCCUACCGUGGCAAUGACGGGUAACGGGGAAUUAGGGUUCGAUUCCGGAGAGGGAGCCUGAGAAACGGCUACCACAUCUAAGGAAGGCAGCAGG